This 251-nucleotide unclassified non-coding RNA is filed under the name plant metagenome. RNAcentral's name for it is "partial contains 5.8S ribosomal RNA, internal transcribed spacer 2, and large subunit ribosomal RNA". The stretch from base 1 to 105 matches the Rfam family "5.8S ribosomal RNA", at positions 50 to 154 of the family's 154-position model. The record is from RNAcentral.
GAAAUGCGAUAAGUAAUGUGAAUUGCAGAAUUCCGUGAAUCAUCGAAUCUUUGAACGCACAUUGCGCCCUCUGGCAUUCCGGGGGGCAUGCCUGUCCGAGCGUCAUUACGCACCCUCAAGCCCGGCUUGUGUGAUGGGCCCCGCCGUCGCCCUUCGGGAGGACCGAAGCGCCCACUGAACUCCGGGACUCCCGUCCCGGAGACUGCGAACCUUGACCUCGGAUCAGGCGGGGUUACCCGCUGAACUUAAGC